Molecule: long non-coding RNA, 231 nt
Filed under: Phoenix dactylifera (date palm)
Lineage: Eukaryota; Viridiplantae; Streptophyta; Magnoliopsida; Arecales; Arecaceae
Description: long non-coding RNA (PDAC_LNC011388)
Source: RNAcentral
CCGUAACCAUCUUACCACCAACUCUGACACAUACAACGUCGAGAACAUUUCAAACAAAAGCUUCAACUCCAUAUCUCACAGGUAUAAUAUUCAAUAGUAGAUUGGUGUAAGGGGUCUCUCUAUGGAGUUGAGAAAGGGUGUUCACACAAAUAUAUGAGAAGGCAAGUGUUCAUGAACAAGCAACAAACAAGCAUUGAUCUUAUGAUAGGAUCACCAACCAUUGGGAACUCA